AGUGAACGCUGGCGGUAGGCCUAACACAUGCAAGUCGAACGGCAGCACAGUAAGAGCUUGCUCUUACGGGUGGCGAGUGGCGGACGGGUGAGGAAUACAUCGGAAUCUACUUUUUCGUGGGGGAUAACGUAGGGAAACUUACGCUAAUACCGCAUACGACCUACGGGUGAAAGCAGGGGAUCUUCGGACCUUGUGCGAUUGAAUGAGCCGAUGUCGGAUUAGCUAGUUGGCGGGGUAAAGGCCCACCAAGGUGACGAUCCGUAGCUGGUCUGAGAGGAUGAUCAGCCACACUGGAACUGAGACACGGUCCAGACUCCUACGGGAGGCAGCAGUGGGGAAUAUUGGACAAUGGGCGCAAGCCUGAUCCAGCCAUACCGCGUGGGUGAAGAAGGCCUUCGGGUUGUAAAGCCCUUUUGUUGGGAAAGAAAAGCAGCAGGUUAAUACCCCGCUGUUCUGACGGUACCCAAAGAAUAAGCACCGGCUAACUUCGUG
RNAcentral lists this ribosomal RNA (492 nucleotides) under uncultured bacterium. Its description in RNAcentral is "partial 16S ribosomal RNA". It matches the Rfam family "Bacterial small subunit ribosomal RNA", at positions 29 to 507 of the family's 1533-position model. The record is from RNAcentral.